GAGGCUCUUGAGAAAAAAAUAGAAUUGUUAAAUGAGCAGUUGUCCUCAUUUCAGGAUUUAUCAGAAAAGAAGGAAGAUUAUCUUCUAGAAGAAGAAGAGACCCCUCAAACUGGAAGAAGUCAAAUGCUCGAAGGAAUGACAAUAGAAAGAAAGGAGCAAGACAUUCAAGAAAAGGACUUUAUAAUUGCUAAAAAAAUUAAACAAAUAUCAGAAUUAACAAAAAAAUUAGAAGAAAAUACUGGAGAAUUGAAAAAUAAAGAUGCUAAAAUUUCUGCUGAUGGUUUGGAACUGAUAUCUCUCAAAGAGAAGUUGGCAGAGAAAGAAAUGAUAACAAGGGGAUAUCAGACAGAAG
Long non-coding RNA from Amphimedon queenslandica, 352 nucleotides. RefSeq lists it as uncharacterized. NCBI's taxonomy places the organism in Eukaryota, Metazoa, Porifera, Demospongiae, Haplosclerida, Niphatidae. The record is from RefSeq and is a predicted model, not a curated record. The transcript is spliced from 6 exons.